RNAcentral lists this ribosomal RNA (740 nucleotides) under Syncephalis clavata. RNAcentral's name for it is "eukaryotic LSU rRNA". It matches the Rfam family "Eukaryotic large subunit ribosomal RNA", at positions 93 to 619 of the family's 3401-position model. Lineage: Eukaryota; Fungi; Zoopagomycota; Zoopagomycetes; Zoopagales; Piptocephalidaceae. The record is from RNAcentral.
ACCCCAUGGGGCGAGCACACACAAACAAAGAGUUGGUCUUGCGUUGUAAAUUGAUGAUGCGUCGCCUAGUGUUGGAUGUUUCGGUUAAAGUCUCUUGGAAUAGAGCGUCAGAGAGGGUGAUAAUCCCGUGAUUGAUCGAAACUGUCCGGCGCGUUAUGGUGGCGUGUCUUAGAGUCGGAAUGUUUGGGAUUGCAUUUCAAAGUGGGUGGUAGACUCCAUCUAAGGCUAAAUACUGGCGAGAGACCGAUAGCGAACAAGUACCGUGAGGGAAAGUUGAAAAGCACUCUGGAGAGAGAGUCAAACAGUACGUGAAAUUGCUAGCAGGGAAACGUUGGACGUCAGUACACGGCUAUCAACUGUUGACGAUCAGUCGGAGGUGAAUGGGUAGUAGGUUUGGGUGUUUAAUCGCUUUAGGGAUUAUCUCAAACGAUAACCCACCAAGUCUAUAAACUUGUUUGCACCGAUGCAUUCGUCGACGGCCGGGUCAACAUCGGUUUAAUCGACGUUCGAUAAGCCAUUUGGACAAGGUAGCAUUUGGCUCGGUUCGUCCGGAUCAGUUGAACUUAUAGGUCCGAAUGUGUGAGGAUGUCGCGGACCGAGGAUAACGUUAAGAUUCGUGCAUGCUCCGGCGUGCAGGGCGUAAUGGUAGAGUCAAGGUUGUUCCUGCUACUAGACAACAUGUUGACUAGUAGUAGUUUGUUGGACUUUUUGUCCGGCAGUGAUGAUCGUUCUUCCACUAC